Molecule: ribosomal RNA, 253 nt
Filed under: uncultured bacterium
Lineage: Bacteria
Description: partial 16S ribosomal RNA
Rfam family: Bacterial small subunit ribosomal RNA
Source: RNAcentral
UACGGAGGGAGCUAGCGUUGUUCGGAAAUACUGGGCGUAAAGCGCACGUAGGCGGCGCAGCAAGUCAGGGGUGAAAUCCCGGGGCUCAACCCCGGAACUGCCCUUGAAACUGCAGUGCUAGAAUCUUGGAGAGGCGAGUGGAAUUCCGAGUGUAGAGGUGAAAUUCGUAGAGAUCGGGAGGAACACCAGAGGCGAAAGCGGCGACCUGGACAAGUACUGACACUCAACUACGAAAGCGUGGGGAGCAAACAGG